UGUUCCAUAGUGAGGCCUCUGGACUUUGAAUCCAGGGUUCUGAGUUCAAAUCUCAGUGGGACAU
RNAcentral lists this transfer RNA (64 nucleotides) under Pelodiscus sinensis (Chinese soft-shelled turtle). It matches the Rfam family "tRNA". From Rfam's summary of the family: Transfer RNA (tRNA) molecules are approximately 80 nucleotides in length. The record is from Rfam by way of RNAcentral. Lineage: Eukaryota; Metazoa; Chordata; Testudines; Trionychidae.